UGCGGGAUCGUCCAGCGGCAGGACGCGAUCCUCUGAAGAUCGAGACGCUGGUUCGAAUCCAGCUCCCGCAA
This 71-nucleotide transfer RNA is filed under the name Planctomyces sp. Its description in RNAcentral is "tRNA-Gln". It matches the Rfam family "tRNA". From Rfam's summary of the family: Transfer RNA (tRNA) molecules are approximately 80 nucleotides in length. Their secondary structure includes four short double-helical elements and three loops (D, anti-codon, and T loops). Further hydrogen bonds mediate the characteristic L-shaped molecular structure. tRNAs have two regions of fundamental functional importance: the anti-codon, which is responsible for specific mRNA codon recognition, and the 3' end, to which the tRNAs corresponding amino acid is attached (by aminoacyl-tRNA synthetases). tRNAs cope with the degeneracy of the genetic code in two manners: having more than one tRNA (with a specific anti-codon) for a particular amino acid; and 'wobble' base-pairing, i.e. permitting non-standard base-pairing at the 3rd anti-codon position. Lineage: Bacteria; Pseudomonadati; Planctomycetota; Planctomycetia; Planctomycetales; Planctomycetaceae. The record is from RNAcentral. RNAcentral also lists the same sequence under 1 other name.